UCGGGAAUUUUGGGCAAUGGGCGAAAGCCUGACCCAGCAACGCCGCGUGAGGGAUGAAGUAUUUCGGUAUGUAAACCUCGAAAGAAUGGGAAGAAUAAAUGACGGUACCAUUUAUAAGCUCCGGCUAACUACGUGCCAGCAGCCGCGGUAAUACGUAGGGAGCAAGCGUUGUUCGGAUUUACUGGGCGUAAAGGGCGCGUAGGCGGUGCGGUAAGUCACUUGUGAAGUCUCUGAGCUUAACUCAGAACGGCCAAGUGAUACUGCUGUGCUAGAGUGCGGAAGAGGCAACCGGAAUUCUUGGUGUAGCGGUGAAAUGCGUAGAUAUCAAGAGGAACACCCGAGGUGAAGGCGGGUUGCUGGGCCGACACUGACACUGAUGCGCGAAAGCCAGGGGAGCAAACG
This 402-nucleotide ribosomal RNA is filed under the name uncultured bacterium. RNAcentral's name for it is "bacterial SSU rRNA". It matches the Rfam family "Bacterial small subunit ribosomal RNA", at positions 355 to 774 of the family's 1533-position model. The record is from RNAcentral.